Alligator mississippiensis (American alligator) is the source of this 1175-nucleotide long non-coding RNA. RefSeq lists it as uncharacterized. The record is from RefSeq and is a predicted model, not a curated record. NCBI's taxonomy places the organism in Eukaryota, Metazoa, Chordata, Crocodylia, Alligatoridae. The transcript has 4 exons.
AGACAGUGAGGGGCAGCUGAGGCCCUAGACGGUGAGGAAGACCAGAAGCCCACUUGUCGACCUUGGAAAGACGCUGAGACCGCAGGACCUGAGACAAGGAGAUACAAGGCAUCUGUGUACCUUACGACUCCGGCAGCUCUGGCUAUAUCUAUAAUAGUGGCUGCAAUACUGACCUUCGAGACAAUCUACACAUCAAAUUAAGGGUCAAGGCUGAUGCCAGCUCUGAAGGGAAGCUGCUGCUUUCAGAACUGCCAUCCUUUGAGGAAAGUCUGCAUAAUGAAAAGGAGAUCAAACAGGUUCUACUGUCUACAGCAGUAUAUGAACUGUUGCUCGAAGUUUAAUGGCAAUGCCAUUUGCAUAAUCAAGGCCAACAGAAGUGCAGAGUGAUGGUUAAUAUCAGUCCCUGAGCCUUGUUCAAUGGCUGAAGACAUCCCUUCUUUCUGUAACUGGAGGAAUGAAACCCUAAUCUACUGACCAUUUUAUUGCUAGUUGAUUCAAACAUGGUCAACUAUAACUGAUGGAGCUGAACAGGAGGAACAACAUUAUACCAUGGGAGGAAGUACAGAAAGCUUCCAUGCCAGCUAUUCUGGACUGAAUCUGAUGCAUGGCAAGAUCCAGUAAUCUGCCCCACAUUAUAAAAUCAAGAUACAGAAGAAUUAGAUCCCAAGCCUCCUGACUGUUUAUCCUGCAUCAUGCUUCCUCCUGAAGGCUGCUUUACAGAGCUCAUUAAACCCAACCACUCUGAGAACUAAAGAUACUUGCCGGCAUCUCAGACUUUUACAUACACUAGGAAAACACAUGGCUUUUUCUGGACAGAAGAAAAAUUAACUGCAACUGUGUUUACAAGAUGUCACUGAUACAACUGUCAGCUAAAAACAUCUGCAUAAUCCCAUACAGUCAGUGUGGGGAAGCAACAGCUGUGAUUGGACAGUCCCAUGACUAUGAUCUCAUGAUUUACAAACAUAAUCUGCUAUCUAUAGAAAGUUCUUAAAGUGAUCAAAAUGUGAUUUUCAGUUAAAAAAAAUGAAACAAAAAAACCCACCUGCCUGGCAAGACUGAUAUCAGGAUUUUUCAGGCAAGAAAGCUACUGUUCUGUGAGAGGUCUGCUGUUAGGCAGAGUCCUUGCUUAACUGCGUUCACCGAAAGGCAAAGCAAGCAGGAAAUUUAGGCAGGGA